GAUGAACGCUAGCGGCAGGCUUAAUACAUGCAAGUCAAGGGGGUAGCAAUACAACCGGCGCACGGGUGAGUAACGCGUACACAACAUACCAUAUACUGGAGUAUAGCUUUGGGAAACUGAAGGUAAUCCUCCAUAACAUUGCGAGAGGGCAUCUGAUUGCAAUUAAAGUUUCGGCGGUAUAUGAUUGGUGUGCGUUUGAUUAGCUAGUUGGUAGGGUAACGGCCUACCAAGGCGACGAUCAAUAGCUGGCGUGAGAGCGCGACCAGCCACACUGGAACUGAGACACGGUCCAGACUCCUACGGGAGGCAGCAGUAGGGAAUAUUGGACAAUGGAGGAAACUCUGAUCCAGCCAUGCCGCGUGAUAGAUGAAGGCCCUCUGGGUUGUAAAUAUCUUUUUAUCUGGGAAGAAACACUCCUAUUCUUAGGAACUUGACGGUACCAGAGGAAUAAGCACCGGCUAACUCCGUGCCAGCAGCCGCGGUAAAGUA
RNAcentral lists this ribosomal RNA (489 nucleotides) under uncultured bacterium. Its description in RNAcentral is "bacterial SSU rRNA". It matches the Rfam family "Bacterial small subunit ribosomal RNA", at positions 28 to 527 of the family's 1533-position model. The record is from RNAcentral.